This 277-nucleotide ribosomal RNA is filed under the name uncultured bacterium. RNAcentral describes it as "partial 16S ribosomal RNA". It matches the Rfam family "Bacterial small subunit ribosomal RNA", at positions 28 to 316 of the family's 1533-position model. The record is from RNAcentral.
GACAAACGCUGGCGGCGUGUAUUAGGCAUGCAAGUCGUACGGACACUUCGGUGUCAGUGGCGGACGGGUGAGUAACACGUGGGUAACCUGCCCCGGAGUGGGGAAUAACUCGCCGAAAGGCGAGCUAAUACCGCAUACCACUCCCGGUGAGAGACCGGGUAGUAAAAGCAGUAAUGCGCUCUGGGAGGGGCCCGCGGCCGAUUAGCUUGUUGGUGGGGUAAUAGCCUACCAAGGCGACGAUCGGUAGCUGGUCUGAGAGGAUGGUCAGCCACACGGG